Molecule: ribosomal RNA, 1026 nt
Filed under: uncultured bacterium
Lineage: Bacteria
Description: bacterial SSU rRNA
Rfam family: Bacterial small subunit ribosomal RNA
Source: RNAcentral
AGUGGGGAAUAUUGCACAAUGGGCGCAAGCCUGAUGCAGCCAUGCCGCGUGUGUGAAGAAGGCCUUAGGGUUGUAAAGCACUUUCAGUCGUGAGGAAAGGUGUGUGCUUAAUACGUACAUACUGUGACGUUAGCGACAGAAGAAGGACCGGCUAACUCCGUGCCAGCAGCCGCGGUAAUACGGAGGGUCCGAGCGUUAAUCGGAAUUACUGGGCGUAAAGCGCGCGUAGGUGGAUUGGUCAGUCAGAUGUGAAAGCCCAGGGCUCAACCUUGGAACUGCAUCUGAUACUGCUAGUCUAGAAUACAGUAGAGGGUAGUGGAAUUUCCUGUGUAGCGGUGAAAUGCGUAGAUAUAGGAAGGAACACCAGUGGCGAAGGCGACUACAUGGACUGAUAUUGACACUGAGGUGCGAAAGCGUGGGGAGCAAACAGGAUUAGAUACCCUGGUAGUCCACGCCGUAAACGAUGUCUACUAGCCGUUGGAAGACUUGAUCUUUUAGUGGCGAAGCUAACGCGAUAAGUAGACCGCCUGGGGAGUACGGCCGCAAGGUUAAAACUCAAAUGAAUUGACGGGGGCCCGCACAAGCGGUGGAGCAUGUGGUUUAAUUCGACGCAACGCGAAGAACCUUACCAACUCUUGACAUCCAGAGAAGAGGCUAGAGAUAGCUUUGUGCCUUCGGGAACUCUGAGACAGGUGCUGCAUGGCUGUCGUCAGCUCGUGUUGUGAAAUGUUGGGUUAAGUCCCGUAACGAGCGCAACCCUUGUCCUUAUUUGCCAGCACGUAAUGGUGGGAACUCUAAGGAGACUGCCGGUGACAAACCGGAGGAAGGUGGGGACGACGUCAAGUCAUCAUGGCCCUUACGAGUUGGGCUACACACGUGCUACAAUGGCCGGUACAGAGGGCUGCAAACCUGCGAAGGUAAGCUAAUCUCACAAAACCGGUCGUAGUCCGGAUUGGAGUCUGCAACUCGACUCCAUGAAGUCGGAAUCGCUAGUAAUCGUGGAUCAGAAUGCCACGGUGAAUACGU